RNAcentral lists this non-coding RNA (117 nucleotides) under Nomascus leucogenys (northern white-cheeked gibbon). Lineage: Eukaryota; Metazoa; Chordata; Mammalia; Primates; Hylobatidae. The record is from Rfam by way of RNAcentral.
GCUGGGCGUGGUGGCUCACGCCUGUAAUCCCAGCACUUUGGGAGGCCGAGGUGGGUGGAUCACCUGAGGUCAGGAGUUCAAGACCAGCCUGGCCAAUAUGGUGAAACUCCGCCUCUA